This is an RNA transcript of Humulus lupulus (European hop), 1407 nucleotides long. It is a transcript of the gene named protein ZW2-like, with no coding region annotated. NCBI's taxonomy places the organism in Eukaryota, Viridiplantae, Streptophyta, Magnoliopsida, Rosales, Cannabaceae. The record is from RefSeq and is a predicted model, not a curated record. The transcript is spliced from 2 exons.
ACUCAAUAUCCCUGGUUUUUGAAUAAAUUUAGAGAGGAGGGGAGAUAUAUAUACAAACACAUAUUUUUUUUUUCUUUUUCUGUGUGGAAAAACUUACCCCCUCCCUGUGUCUGUCUCUGUUCUAUGACUAAAGGUUUGAAAGUUACAUCCAGUACCGAAGGCAACGACGACAAUGAAGUUUCCUUUGCAAAUUUUUUCCAAGGAUGGCUAGUACGUCAAGAGCAGUACCUGGAUGAGCUCGUCUCAGCGAGUGAUGUACACAGUGAUGAAUCUUCUGAUGAUGAUCUCAGACAGCUUGUUUCUAGAAUUCUCGCUCACUACCAGCAGUACUACGAGCAGAAGUCGAAAUUCAUCGAGCGGAAUGUAUUCCUCGUCUUCUUCCCCCCAUGGUUUACCUCUUUCGAGAAAACUUUCCUCUGGAUCGCCGGGUUCAAACCGGGACUCGCGUUUCGCCUCGUAGCCGAUUCGAUCGAUGAUCUUUCUGAGAAUCAGGUACUGAGAAUUAAUCGGCUGAUGAAGGAGACGAAAUCAAAGGAGCGUACCUUAGACGAUGAGCUCGCGAGGAUCCAAGAGAGCGUGGGGGCGCCGCCGUUGUUGGAGAACGCAAGACGCGGAGGAAGAAGAUCAUUGAUCCACGGCGAACAAGCCGAGGACUCGGGCUCGGACUCGGACUCGGCUAUGGCGUUGCUCAAGUCAAAUAUGGAAGCCGUUGGAACCGCCGCUGAUACGCUGCGGAUGUCGACGGCGUUGAAAGUUAUGGAAGUGCUGGAACCGGCUCAAAGCGUGAAGUUCUUGGCGGCGGCGGCUCAGCUUCAGCUCCGGCUCAGAUCGUGGGGUUUGGAAUGAAGAGAUGAUAUAUAAGGCCUGAAAACUACGAGAGAGAGAGCGCAAGAGCAAAAAUCAGAAUCCUGAAGCUGCAAUUUUUUAUUAAUGGACGAAUUUGCUGUUUAUGUCUAUAUACCAGGCAUGGGCAAAUCUAAAUUACACAAUGGAUCUAGCACCAAUCGUAGGGAUAGGUUAAUGACAAGUACUCUCUUUCUCUCAUUUUUGUUCAACUUUUUGCUGCACGUGUGAAUCAAAUUUUUAGGAAAUUCUGAAUAAUUUAGGAUGCCGAAAUCACAAUUUAAGUAACUUGUUACACGCAUACUUAUUUCAAUAUAUAUACGUGCGUGCAAUAUAAUAGAUUGUUUAAAUCUUGAUUUCGACAUCUUAAAUUAUCCAAAAUUUCCUCAAAAUUUGUGAGAGUUAUUCUGUAACUAAAGUAUACAUCGUCAUUUAAAAAAAUUAGAGUUACAAUUUAUCUGUAUACCAAAAAUACUGAAAUUAGCUAUCGGUAGUGAUUAAAAACAAUCACUGUCCAAAAAAUUUCAUUUAUAUCUAGGUGGAAGUUAAGUGUAAGUGUACAUG